AACGAACGCUGGCGGCAGGCUUAAUACAUGCAAGUCGAGCGGUAAGGUCUCUUCGGAGGCCCUAGAGCGGCGAACGGGUGAGUAAUGGGUGGAUAACCUACCCUUUGGUGGGGGAUAACACUGCGAAAGCGGUGCUAAUACCGCAUGUUAUUGCCUUUCCCUCGGGAAAGGUAAAGAAAGACGCCCUUAAAGCGUCGCCAAAGGACGGGUCCGCCUCCCAUUAGCUAGUUGGUAAGGUAAUGGCUUACCAAGGCAACGAUGGGUAGCCGAGCUGAGAGGUUGGUCGGCCACACUGGAACUGAGACACGGUCCAGACACCUACGGGUGGCAGCAGUAGGGAAUAUUGGACAAUGGGCGAAAGCCUGAUCCAGCCAUGCCGCGUGAGGGAUGAAGCCCUUCGGGGUGUAAACCUCUUUCUGGGGGAUGAAAGAAGCAAGUAGGAAAUGACUUGCUUUUGACAGUACCCCAGGAAUAAGGAACGGCUAACUCCGUG
This 493-nucleotide ribosomal RNA is filed under the name uncultured bacterium. Its description in RNAcentral is "bacterial SSU rRNA". It matches the Rfam family "Bacterial small subunit ribosomal RNA", at positions 29 to 507 of the family's 1533-position model. The record is from RNAcentral.